UACGGAGGGUGCAAGCGUUAUCCGGAUUUAUUGGGUUUAAAGGGUGCGUAGGCGGUGAUAUAAGUCAGUGGUGAAAUCCUGCAGCUUAACUGUAGAACAGCCAUUGAAACUGUAUUACUUGAGUAAUCUUGAGGUAGGCGGAAUGUGUAGUGUAGCGGUGAAAUGCUUAGAUAUUACACAGAACACCGAUUGCGAAGGCAGCUUACUAAGGAUUUACUGACGCUGAUGCACGAAAGCGUGGGGAUCAAACAGG
This 253-nucleotide ribosomal RNA is filed under the name uncultured bacterium. Its description in RNAcentral is "partial 16S ribosomal RNA". It matches the Rfam family "Bacterial small subunit ribosomal RNA", at positions 524 to 776 of the family's 1533-position model. The record is from RNAcentral.